AAGUCGUAACAAGGUUUCCGUAGGUGAACCUGCGGAAGGAUCAUUAAAAAGAUCACCUUUAGAGAAUGUCAUGAAGGGGUUUUACCCUGGAAAGUCUUCUCUUUAAAACCUGUGAACUGUUAUUUUGUACUAUUUUUUGUAUGUUAUCUUUUUUUUUGAAGGAGGAGAAAACUUUACGUUUUUUUCUCUUUUAUUAAAAUUUAAAGACAA
RNAcentral lists this unclassified non-coding RNA (210 nucleotides) under plant metagenome. Its description in RNAcentral is "partial contains small subunit ribosomal RNA and internal transcribed spacer 1". The stretch from base 1 to 46 matches the Rfam family "Eukaryotic small subunit ribosomal RNA", at positions 1786 to 1831 of the family's 1831-position model. The record is from RNAcentral.